Molecule: ribosomal RNA, 433 nt
Filed under: uncultured bacterium
Lineage: Bacteria
Description: partial 16S ribosomal RNA
Rfam family: Bacterial small subunit ribosomal RNA
Source: RNAcentral
AACGAACGCUGGCGGCAUGCCUAACACAUGCAAGUCGAACGAGACCUUCGGGUCUAGUGGCGCACGGGUGCGUAACGCGUGGGAACCCGCCCUUAGGUUCGGAAUAACUCCCCGACAGGGGUGCUAAUACCGGAUAAUGUCUUCGGACCAAAGAUUUAUCGCCUUUGGAUGGGCCCGCGUUGGAUUAGCUAGUUGGUAGGGUAAAAGCCUACCAAGGCGACGAUCCAUAGCUGGUCUGAGAGGAUGAUCAGCCACACUGGGACUGAGACACGGCCCAGACUCCUACGGGAGGCAGCAGUGGGGAAUAUUGGACAAGGGGCGAAAGCCUGAUCCAGCAAUGCCGCGUGAGUGAUGAAGGCCUUAGGGUUGUAAAGCUCUUUUACCCGGGAUGAUAAUGACAGUACCGGGAGAAUAAGCUCCGGCUAACUCCGUG